GGAGGACCGAACCGACUAACGUUGAAAAGUUAGCGGAUGACUUGUGGCUGGGGGUGAAAGGCCAAUCAAACCGGGAGAUAGCUGGUUCUCCCCGAAAUCUAUUUAGGUAGAGCCUCGGACGAAUUCCAUUGGGGGUAGAGCACUGUUAAGGCUAGGGGGUCAUCCCGACUUACCAACCCUUUGCAAACUCCGAAUACCAAUGAGAACUAUCCGGGAGACACACGGCGGGUGCUAACGUCCGUCGUGGAGAGGGAAACAACCCAGACCGCCAGCUAAGGUCCCCAAAUUCCAGUUAAGUGGGAA
RNAcentral lists this ribosomal RNA (303 nucleotides) under Corethron pennatum. RNAcentral describes it as "partial Bacterial large subunit ribosomal RNA". It matches the Rfam family "Bacterial large subunit ribosomal RNA", at positions 768 to 1069 of the family's 2925-position model. Lineage: Eukaryota; Bacillariophyta; Corethrophyceae; Corethrales; Corethraceae. The record is from RNAcentral.